AACUAAACAUCUUGUAGUGCUGAGAGGAAUCUGGCCCUGCAGACAUUUACCUGUGACUCUCCUAGUUGUCUUUAUUUUUCUUGAUGCAAGCUGAUGUACAGACAGAGUCCUACCAUCUGUGCUACAACGGUUGGAGGCCCAAGAUUGACUAUGUUUUGGUACCAAGUCCUUCCAUCAUCAGCGUCCACAUAUUAAAGCGAUGGCUCUCUGUACAUGCACACUGCAAACAGAAAAGACACCCGUUAGCAGCCCUGAAGUCACAGCAUCACUGACCACCAUGAGUUAUCUGUAUGCGAGGCUGAAGUCCUCACCCCGGUACAACACAGGCGCAGACAUACAAAAGCCUCAGUGACCCAGUGGAAGAUCCUCUUAUCGAGCAAGAUCUGCUAUCUGCCUUUGCUGCCAGCCAGAUCCUUCCAGAGGCACAGACAGAAACAAGGGAUUUCUGCUUCCCUGUGGG
Molecule: long non-coding RNA, 460 nt
Filed under: Gallus gallus (chicken)
Lineage: Eukaryota; Metazoa; Chordata; Aves; Galliformes; Phasianidae
Source: RNAcentral